Molecule: ribosomal RNA, 471 nt
Filed under: uncultured fungus
Lineage: Eukaryota; Fungi
Description: eukaryotic LSU rRNA
Rfam family: 5.8S ribosomal RNA (bases 105-258)
Source: RNAcentral
CCUCGGCGGAUCAGCCCGCGCCCCGUAAAAAGGGACGGCCCGCCCGAGGACCCCUAAACUCUGUUUUUAGUGGAACUUCUGAGUAAAACAAACAAAUAAAUCAAAACUUUCAACAACGGAUCUCUUGGUUCUGGCAUCGAUGAAGAACGCAGCAAAAUGCGAUAAGUAAUGUGAAUUGCAGAAUUCAGUGAAUCAUCGAAUCUUUGAACGCACAUUGCGCCCGCCAGUAUUCUGGCGGGCAUGCCUGUUCGGGCGUCAUUUCAACCCUCAAGCUCUGCUUGGUGUUGGGACUCGCGGUAACCCGCGUUCCCCAAAUCGAUUGGCGGUCACGUCGAGCUUCCAUAGCGUAGUAAUCAUACACCUCGUUACUGGUAAUCGUCGCGGCCACGCCGUAAAACCCCAACUUCUGAAUGUUGACCUCGGAUCAGGUAGGAAUACCCGCUGAACUUAAGCAUAUCAAUAAGCGGAGGA